RNAcentral lists this ribosomal RNA (467 nucleotides) under uncultured bacterium. Its description in RNAcentral is "partial 16S ribosomal RNA". It matches the Rfam family "Bacterial small subunit ribosomal RNA", at positions 28 to 507 of the family's 1533-position model. The record is from RNAcentral.
GAUGAACGCUGGCGGCGUGCUUAACACAUGCAAGUCGAACGGAAAGGCUCCUGCUUGCAGGGGUACUCGAGUGGCGAACGGGUGAGUAACACGUGGGUGAUCUGCCCUGCACUUCGGGAUAAGCCUGGGAAACUGGGUCUAAUACCGGAUAGGACCACAUUUUGGAUGGUGUGGUGGAAAGUUUUUCGGUGUGGGAUGAGCUCGCGGCCUAUCAGCUUGUUGGUGGGGUAAUGGCCUACCAAGGCGUCGACGGGUAGCCGGCCUGAGAGGGUGUACGGCCACAUUGGGACGGAGAUACGGCCCAGACUCCUACGGGAGGCAGCAGUGGGGAAUAUUGCACAAUGGGCGCAAGCCUGAUGCAGCGACGCCGCGUGGGGGAUGACGGCAUUCGGGUUGUAAACUCCUUUCGCUAGGGACGAAGCGUUUUUGUGACGGUACCUGGAGAAGAAGCACCGGCUAACUACGUG